ACCCGACGACGGUGCGCCAACCUCGCAAGAGGAAGCAGCCGGCCACGGUAGGCUCAGUGACUGGGGUGAAGUCGUAACAAGGUAGCCGUAGGUGAACCUCAGAAGGAUCA
This 110-nucleotide ribosomal RNA is filed under the name uncultured eukaryote. RNAcentral describes it as "partial small subunit ribosomal RNA". The record is from RNAcentral.